Pseudopipra pipra is the source of this 12350-nucleotide long non-coding RNA. RefSeq lists it as uncharacterized. The transcript has 3 exons. NCBI's taxonomy places the organism in Eukaryota, Metazoa, Chordata, Aves, Passeriformes, Pipridae. The record is from RefSeq and is a predicted model, not a curated record.
GGGUUGUUUUUUGUUCUCUUUUAGGGAUUUUUUUAUGAAGUGAAAAAAGAAGAGAAGGUGUGAAAGAAGAAAAGUGGGGUAUAAAGGAAUCUUGUAAGGAAUGGAAUUUGAAGGAUAGAUUUGAUUCUUUUGAAGAAGCUAGAAAUGUUUUCCCCUUGACUCUUCAAGUAUUCUUUUAGCUUUUCUCUUUAAAAGUAUAAAUAUGUGUGCACAGACACUGUGGUGUGUUUCAUACUGUAAAAGUAAUGUCUUUUCCAUGUCUUUCCAUAAGUUCUGCUAUCUUAUAAAACUUAGAUAUUUUACAGGGUGGAGGGAGUAAGAAACUGAAUAAAAAGCAUGCUAGAUAAUAGCUUUUUUGGAACUCUUGGAACGUUUUGUCCAAGAUCAGGCACGUCUGUGUGAUUUCACUGACUCUCUGCCUGGGCAGUGGCAGGUUCUCCAAGAAUCUUGAUUCUGUUCAGGAGGAAGCUGUCCAAGAGCACUGAGAGCAGAGCUAAAGGCAGCCCACGAGCACAGCACGUAGGACCAAAACAUCAGAAGGCUUUUGGAACUCUCCCUUGGAAGGACUUGCCUGCUCCAAGUGCUUGACUUGGGAUGAAAUAUGGCUCAGAGCACUGAUCUUGGUAAGAAUCAAGGAAAUGGAAAGUAAAUGAUGUGGGAGACUAAUGUGUAAUUAGAACUGUAGUGGUAAUUUUUCUUUUUUUCAACAAAACAUUGUUCUUCUCAGGGCCAAGCAAUGAUUCAGGUAACUGCUAAAGUUUUGCAGAGCAUUUUUCUUGGCACUGGGUAGUAGGUUUAUUAUUCUCAAACAUAGUGACACUUGUUCAUAACACCAAGAGUCCUGUUACAACUACUGCUUUUGUUGAUUGAGACAGGAUAAGCAUUGAUUGAGAUUGGAUAAGCAUUGGAGAAGAAAGGGACAGAGACAAAAAGAAUUAUUUCAUUCUGUCUGGCAUUCCUCUAAAGUGAUACACAAGAAGUUGAAAAUAGCCAAGCAUCUGUGACAGAUUUGGGAAUGCAGCUGUGCUUUCUGGACAUCUACUCUUCCUGAAACCAGAAAGAUGCAUGAGAGUAAGUAUAAGUGGCUCUUGAAGGGAUUUUGACUGCUGCUUUUGCCAGAUGACAGCCAGAGACUCUGGCUUGCUGAUCAGAGUAUGUGGGGUGCACCCAACAGCUAGCAGAGUUCAAUUUAGGAGAGUCUGGUUAUUUCAUUGCCAUUCAAUAUUUGUUGUAAUCAAUAGUUUUUGUAUGAUUUUAGGAUUAAGAUGAACAUAGCAUACUUCAUUAAUAAAAGGGAAGGAGAAAUGUGAAUUUAAAAUAUACUCCAUGCUCUUGUAUGGGCCUUCUUGGCACCAUCAACAGAAAUGCCCAGAUUUAAACCAUUCAGAAAUCUGGCCUUUUAUUUCAUUGACUUUUUUUCAACCCUUUAAACAAUGAGAGACAAAAUGAGUUCAAGUCAAAAUUAUUCCCAUGGGUUCUGUGGCAAAGUGGCUUUGCCUAAUGUUAUGAAUGACACAAGUUUAAUAUCUGGCAAGAAGAAAGCCAUGUUUAUGCUAGGAAAAUUAUCUCUUGCUGAUAUUAAGUGUCAGCAGUAUUGCAGCAGAAUCACAGAUGAAUGUGGGUUUGCUGCCAGGAUACACAAGGACAAAGUGUUCAGAACCAUUUGGGGAACUGGCAAUAAUCUGGCACAUUCUGCACUUAACUUGCAGUUGCAUCCAUCAGAACCAGCAAUAAGUGACUUCUGUAAUGUAAACAAGGAUAAAGAGAAGAAAAUAAUCUGAAAUUAUGGGAGUAAAGCAGAACUGUCAAUGCAGGGUCCAGUUGCAGAACAGCAAAAACCAGGGAAGCAGCUGCUGGGAGUGAUUGCCCUCACAGCAGCUUUCUGAAAGUCUGCAGACACCAUUACACAUUCCGAAGAAAAGAAGCUCUGUGAAUAAAAGAUCACUAAAUGUGAUUUUCUAAGCUGUUAAAUGGUCAUAUUGGACCUUCAUUUAAAUUUCGAAAUUCUCAGGAAUGGUGAUAAAUUUUGACAAUUUGAAUGCAAACCUUAGCACAGUGUAUUAUAUUUUACAUUAAUGCUGCAUAGUAGAAGAGACAGAGUGAAGAUCCUCUGGGGUGCAGGAUGCAGACAGCUGGCAGUGAAUUGAAUAACUGGGUUUAGAGGACUUGCUCAAUAUUAAGCAACAAUCAGAGAUGCAAGUGAGCUGUGUAGACGUUUAAAGAAAGGGAUGGAAAGUAACACUGAGCUUAUAAUGUUUUAAGAGUGACGUUUGCUGUGCCUGUACCGCUGUGUUAUGAGGAGAUGGAGGGGAAACAAAGGGACCUCAAGCCCCAGAAGGACACAAGUGAGAGGAAAGUAGAACUGUGUGGGUUGAAGAGAAGAGAGAAGGCCUGACUGGUGUGUUUGUACUGGUGGGUGCUCUGAAUAACUCCACCUGUGUUUCUUUUCACCUUUGCUAUAACAUUUGGCCAAGAACAUUCAAACAGGUUGGAAAGCAGUGUUUUUACAGUGGCUUUUUCCCUUCUUUUUGUGUGUGAGCAAUAAGCAAUGAAAAUGAAACUUGUCACCAUCAGAUGUCAGUGAGGCCAAAAGAACUGCUGAAUUCUUGUGCUUUUCUCCAAAGCAGUAUCAUUAGUCACAGUAGGGGGGGAAACAAUAGGAGAUCUGGCUGGACUAAAUAGCCUGGUUUACAAUGGCAGUUCCUGUAUUUCAGUGGUAUUUCUAUUAGUGUUACAUACAAAUCUUAACUCUUGGUCAAACUUCCCUAAAUGUAGUGCACAUAUCAAACAUUUAUUUAGGGGUAUUUCAAGGCCCAUGCAACAUUCUGCCAGUUCUUAGUGAAGGACCUUAAUAUCGAAAUGUUUGUCUUUAAAAAGCAAGUGUCUUCCUUUAAACACUCCUCCUUUAAACUCUACAAAACAAUUAUUCUUUUUAACUCCAGAUCACUGUUAUUAACAGAGUAAAGCUUCACAGUGUGUUAGGGCAGGUAGUUAUAGGUGCUCAGUUUUUAAAAGAUUAUAAAUAAGGGUUGCAACCUGGCUCUGCAGCUGAGAAAAUGUCAUUAAUUUCAGGGCACCAGAAUUUGAGCCACUGGUGCUAUCUUUACUGAAAAAUGUGGGUGUUUUGUUGCAGUUUAUCAAGAUUCAAUUGGGUUUUAGUUCUUGUAAGGGUUCUGUGAGAACAACAAUACGCUCUUAUUCUUGCUAGAGUGAAAUGGAAGCCAGUGACUGUUUUUCUGAGUCUUACAGAAUAUGGUCUCUGACUUGUUUCUACACUGGACAGAGUUUGAGAAGUUUUUGUGCCUGUUUGCUGUACAUAUUCACAGCUACAGUGAGAGUGUUUUAUUGUCAGAAAGCUGUCAUCUGCUGGGUUGAAUUGAAAACAGUCAAGGUAAUGAUUCUUUGUUGUUUGGGUUCUUGAAAGGCUUGACAUCAUUAUCAUUCCUAGAAUGACAUGGAUUAUAAACCACAGCAUAGGAAAAUUAGGAGGAUUCACUCAGGUACAUGAAAUUUCAGUUGCAAGGUGUGAGAAGACAAUGAUGUUCUUAUGCUCUCCCCAGAUAGUUGUUUUUUGUGCUCUGAUUGCCAGCACAAAGUUCUCUGAUAUCCAUGAUUUCUCUGUCCCGCUCCUUAUAUUGGCCAGAAUGAAAAAGGAUAGGAGUUAAAAGGAAAAAGACAUAGUUGCAGCUCAUAGAUGUUCCAGCUGCUCCCCAGAGACCCUGUAGUGUCAUCACACAAUGUGCUUUUCUGACCUGUGCCCAAGGUCCAGGGAAACAGUCCCUCACUCUGCACCAUUAGCGGUGAAUGAAUUCAAGCGGGACAGACUUUUGUCCAGGCAGAACUCUCUUGUAACUUUAUUACUCCAUACCUAUAUCCAGACUCUCUACUGACCCUGGGCCCAGGCUACCCAGCCAGGCAGAUGUUUCUUUAUCUCCCCACAUACCACACACCCAUGUGACUGCUUCCAGCCACAGAGAACAGCCAUGCUCCAAGCGCCUUUCCAGCUUGACCUUCUGAUUCUUUUCUCACACACACUAAUCUUAGCUCUGGCUCGCUCAGGACCACAAUAUUUUUGCUUUAGUAUUUUCUUCUUUUCUCAUCCAGGUGGCUGGUGUUGUCUAUCCAGCUGCUCCUACAGUCCAGGACAAAAGGAAGCCACUAGUGUUACUUGUUCCCACAAGUAACACUACAAGCUAUUCAUUUCGAAGUUGCAUAGAAGGAGAAGGGCCAGUGAGUCACUUUGGAGAUUCUGGCGUGGUCAAGGUUGAUUGCAUCAUUUGUACUUGGUCACUACACAGUACUUGGUGUAGAAACAGCUGUGUCAAAUAUGUUCCGAAAUAAACCAGUAUUUUGGAGCUCCCAGAAGGUCUAAAUAUGUUUCUUUCAUCUUUCAGCAGUGACAAUGCUUUCUCAGAAAGCUUAGUUCUCUGACCAAGAGAACAAAAUUUCCCUCCUUAAUAUCUAAAAAACUACUGCAAAGUAGAAAGGAUAACAUGUUUUCAGGUUUUUAUAGGAAAACAUAUGAAGGACUUGAAUGGCAAUAAGAUAAAUUCUGCUUAGUGCUGGUUAAUGCUUAGUUAGGGAUAAUGUACCAUUUCUUCGGAAGAUUGUAAAAUCUCUAUCACUUGGGCUUUUAAAAACAGCUCUAACAGGCAAUGCCAGGUAGCUCUGAUCCUGCUGUGGGACAGAGGUCCCUGGAGUCCCUGGCAUGAGCAUUUUCUAUGACUCUGUGACUGCAGGAUUCAUAGCCUCUGGGGGUUUGGUUACUCUUUGAAGUAGAAUUAUUGGGCAACUUAAUAACAUGGACACAAAUGAAGACAUUAGAGAGACAAGUAGUCCUACAUAUCAAGAAAAUUACAGCUAUUUUGAUUUAAUAUAGGAAAUGUAGUGAGAUUGCAAGGACAGUAUAGAAAUAGUUUAGUCUGCAUUUGGGUGCCAGAAUGUCUGCACAUCAGCUUUUGGGAAUUACUUCUUUUUGCUGUCCAUAGCUGAUGCUUACUGACUCCAGCUGUGACAAAAUUCUCUCCUUAGAUUAAUGACAUCUAGACCAAUUCCAGGAAGGAGGAUAAUUUGGACGUGAAAGCAAGGAAAAGAGUUAGUCAGCUUAGAAUGUAGGGUAGUUUUACAGGCAAAAUUAAACUGUUGCUCCUGUUCCUUGAGACUUAAAAACUAAAAUGGACUUCCAAUAUGUAGUAUAGGAGCAGUGGUACUGAGGGCCUGACUUGAUAACUUAAGAUUCUAUAAUGUAUUGUUCUUCAGGGAUAUUGCAAAAUCUAUAUCAAAUUUUUCAAGCCACAUUUCAGAGUAUGGUUUGUUAUAUGAUAUCUUCAACUGAAAUAUAGGAUUAUUUUUGCACUGCAGAGCUUGAGAAAUAACUUCUGGCUUGAACAUUAAAUCCAUGUUAUUUUUGAUCAGCUUUACCUUCUCACAUCAUAACUUUGAUAAGAAGUCAGAGUGCAGGAAGAAUGGGUAAGAUGGUACUUGGCCAGUGCUGAGCAGAGGUUUGGUUUUGGAAGCCCUAUUGGAAUGGUGUGACUGGACAACAAGCUCCACAUCUCCUCUGGCCUGGCAGUGGUGAGGAGGGGAUAAGUGAUGCUGUUUCCCCCUUGAUUGCUGAACAUCUCUGUGACCCUUCCUUAGGGGGAAUGAGCACAUUACUGACUGGUAAAGCAGUGCACUGGCAUCAAACCAGUGUGUGGGAGUUGGAAACAAACCUGCUGAAAUGGGUGUCCCGACAACAGCAGUGAGGUUCUUUCUUUUUCUGUUUGAAAACAGAACAAAAAAUCAACAACAAGGCUGUACAAGAACAAAAAUUAGAACCCCAAGAGUCUACGUGCUUCUGGUGCUGUGCCAGUGAGUACCCACAGCCAUGGGAGAACAGGGAGUGUAAAGGAAUGACUGCUGGAGUAAAUACUGAGCAGGGAGCGUGACUGAGCCAGAGCUGAUCCUCACACCCUCCUCGUGGGCCAGCGCUGGCAAUGGGCCAGAGUAGGUGAAACUGUUGCAUCAAUUUAUCAUAGAAACAACAAAUCAGGCCAGAUUUAUCUAAUCAGCUUUUUGUGAUUAAAAUAUGUCUAGGCUCCCUUUUCCAAAACUGCAAGGGUUGCAGCACCAGCGAGAUUAGGGAUAGACUCCCUGUCUGUGUAUGUAUAUGUAUGCAUGCAUCUAUUUCAUUUUUCUUUGAGCAUUUGCCCUUUUGAGGGAAUAGAUGGUAAAAAAAGGGAUAAAGCAACAUAGGAGUAAGUAAUGGGGAAUAGUUAACAAGAGUUGGCGCUUCAUCUUGGCACCCUGGAAAGCUUUCAACAGCUAGGACAUUUUAUUUUUAUUUUUCUAUUUCGAGCAGGGUGGUGGUGGUUCAAGCUGAGCUGGCAGAAGCUUUCUAGAUAGCAUCAGAUCUUGGAUGAAAAUGGGUGUAAUGUCCUUUGGAAAUGAAGCAGGGAGGAAGCUGAUAUAAAUUUCUUCUGUCACUUACUUUUGAUUGACUUAGUGUUUAACUCAUCCUUCAGCACCUGGGGGACUGCAGUCCUCUUCUGCUUCUUGGUGCUCUGGCUUCUCUCUCUCAGUGCAUGAUUAUCAGUGAUCCAUGUCUGGGUCAUGACUCACCUUGUUGUGUUAAAGCUGGCCUUUGGAAGUGCUCUGCUUUCCCAGGACACGCUGCUUUAUGCCAAGAGCCAAGCCAAGUGGUGUAGCAGGUGUGAAUGUCUGUAUAGAACGGACACUUUUGAAGCCUUCUAUGUUUUAAAGGGAAUAGAUCAAUCUUUCCCAUGUUAUUUAGUCCAGGGAAGGCUUUUCCCUUCUCACUCCAUCUCCUGUCACUUUUGGCCCUUCUAUCCUCCUCAGCAGAAUAAGUGUUUUUCCAAGCCUUGGGAUCCUGACAUCAAGAGAAGAGUGAGAAUGCCAAGAUUCUCACAAUCCUGUGCAUUGCCAUAAGGAUUUAAAGUUGGAUGUUGUUUGGUUUUAAGUGUUACUGAUUGUGUCUUAAAUGUAACAGGUCUUAGUGCUACUCUUCAGAAGUCUGUGGAAAUGUUCUUGCUUUCAUUUGAGUUACCAAGCCUUUCAUAAUGAUUCUGAUGGCUCUACAGGCCAGGCCUCUGGGAGAAGCAAAGCAGAUAAAAGCAUAUCUAGAAUGCUUUUGGAUUCCCUGGAGGGAAGUAUUUCCAAGGGAGAGUUAAAAAAAAAAAAAAAAGAAGAUAAAAAUCUGAAUAAGUAAAUCUGAUUAAGUGAUGUGAUGAGUCUAUUUUGUGUUCAUUUUGUGACAUGGACCAUGAGUCCCACAGGAGCCCUGAAGGUGCAGAAUUCUGGGAGCCACGGAUGAUUCAUGUCUUGUUUCCUACAGACCAUUCCUAACUGAGCCAUCCUUGGACAGCCCAGCUGGGUAAGUUUUGGGAUCACUUUAAGACAGAGCUCCAGGAAGAGACAGUUCUUCCACCUUGUCAAAAAAAAUCCACAGAUGUUGAGAUUCUUUGGUUUCUGUGGUGGUCACAGAGGUGUUCAAAGGUGCAGUACACAUUUGGGUGUUUGUUCUGUGUUUCCCUAUCUCCUGCAGUGAAAUGGUAUAAUUUCCUGAAGCACACCUAAGAAUCUUAAGGCUUUGUUCUUUUUUAUAGGUUCUUCCUAUCAGUUCUUCCUAUCAAAGGUUAUUAUUUUUUUUUAUGAUAAAUAUACUUGAAAAACUAAGCCAUUGUACUUCCUGGCUAGAAGGUGCUCUCAAGAGAACACUCAUGGCUGAGAUAAAGGAUUUAAUUUAAUUUGAACCAAUUCUGAACAAAGGACACUGAUGUGUUUGCAACCUAACACACCUUUUAUUCCCAUGUUAGAACAGCCCUCGAUUUUAUGUCUUGAUCUUUCAACAGUGGUAUAGAACUUCAUUUGUCACCAGGUAAAAAAGAUCUUGGCUUAGCAUAUGAGGAAGAAUUGUAUCUGUCCACUGAAACACCUAAUUUUGCGAGACACCAGGAAAUUUUCUAUUGGAAAAUAUUGAACCCUUUUAGCAAUUGAAGUUCAGUAUUCUCACUUUUCAACAGUAGUGAUUUUAGCACUUCUUACAAUUGAGUUUUCUAGGGUUACUUUUGAUGUUGCAAGCCCAAAGUAACAUGAAUCAAAAUUAAUCUGACUAAAAGAACAUAAAAGCAGUAGUUCCCACUAUGAAACUGCCUGCAUCUGACUUCAUUUAUUUGCCCUACUUUUUAUUUCCCAUUUAUUUUUUACACAAGUGACCAUACAAGUGUCCUCUCCCUGCAAAAAAAACCCCAAAUAAACAACAACAAAAAACCCCCAAAACCCAAUGUAUUUUAAAAAAAAUUGUCAGAAAUUCUGUUUCUUUUGUUUCAAGAUUUUUUUAAAUUCUUAACAUUGUACUUCCAUUGCUUUUUUAUUGCUUGAAGUUCUAAUCCCUUAUGAUAUAGUAUUUUCUGCAUCAGUCUACUGUGACUCUAAUAAAGCAGAAAUAGUUCUAAAUCAUGUGUAUUUAGGUUUUGUUUGGGUUUAGUUUUUCCAUCUUUUUUUUCCCCCCAGGUAUUUCCAUCUGGCAUCAGCAGAGUUCAAAAGGCCUGAUUAUUUUUUGGGUUAUCAAAAGUUUCCUUCUGCCUGCCUCUAAAGAAGCUCUUUUAGAGCUUGGUUUUACCUUGUACUAACAGUAAUCUUGGAAUCCCAAAACCUCUGUAAUUAUUUGCAUUUCACUACUGUGAUGGAUUAUACUUUACAGUUUGAAUCUUGGCACUCUUCUGGGUUGUAUUUGGGUUAUCUCAGCAAUUAGAAAAAGGCUGGUUUUGCACCUACAUAGUAUUAAGCCACAGGUUUUAUUUGAUACAUGAAAACUAGUUGGGGGGAAGAUCACUUUCAUUCUCUCUUCCUUCCCCAGCCUCCUUUCCUCCCAAUUCCUUUCUUUCUAAAAGAAAUUGUAGUACAAAAGUGAGAAAAACAGAAAAGUAUAGGAAAAAUAACAAACAGGAAACUUAUGAUUUUUUCAGUGUAACUUCGAACUUCUUUGGAAAACCCAUUAUCUCAAGACUAUCAACUUUCCCCUAGGGAUUAAAAAACCCUGCUUUUCUGUCCAGCUCCAGUCAGAGAUUGUGAGGGAAUAAAAUUUGUCUUCCUACUGAAUGAGCCCAGGACUGGAUCUCUGGCCAACUAAUUAUUUCCUAAUCUGUCAGCAAAUUCUCUAGAUCUCCAAGUAUGCAGAGGAUUGUCUCAUCUAAAACCGAAUGUCCUGGCAGAACAGCUUCAUAUUCUUCCCUGCACAUACCAGGGAACUGUGAGCUUGUGCAGGUAGAAAAACAAAUAUUGCAGUUUGACUCAGAGUUACUUCUGCAGAGCGUCUCUGUGGAGGUGCCAGAAACCUCAGCUGUGCAGAGCCAGGCUUUGCUGCUUCUCCAGCCACAUUGAACCUGGAAUCCCCAAACACACAGAGCCUUGGGAGCAUGGGAAGCAGAGCACAGUGCUAGUUAAGAUUUAAGAUCUCUCUCGACCUCUGGCAGAUUUCUGGACAUUGUAAUGCAUUUUCUAUUCCUUUCAUCGAGUCCACACCUUAAAGUGGAGGUUAUGAUGUGGCUUGAGGUGUUUGUGCUGUGCUUUGACUCACUGUCCAGACAGGGUAUGUGUAACAUAUAGAGAGGAGCAGGUUCCUCUCUAGCUUUCUCAGAGUUGAAAUUUCAUCCAUAAUUUUAAUAGGAAAUGCUAAACUUUCAAGAGGAAGGCCAUUUAGGAGAACUAAAUGGAACCAUACUGUUUUUAAAAGUUGAACAUUGAACCCUGGCAAGCGUGAGUAGGUAAGAUGUAAAGAUGCUUCAUUGUGCAGGAUGGAAUUUUGGGAGUGGGUUCAGUUGUCUGUGGCUCUGAACUGCAAAAUGCUGCAAAAGAUGCAGUGGUUACUAAAGAAAUACUGGAAGUAAAUUACAUAAUAAUAUGGCAAAUAAUAACCAAGUGACCCCUAACAAUUUUAAUAGCCCAUUAAAAAAAAAGUCUGUUUUGCUUCAGCCUACUUGGUAGUUAUGUAAGCUCCAGAAAUUCUGUGUGUUAUCUGACAUGCUGGACUAGAGAACUGUUGCUCUGUAGAAACAGAGAUUGUUAACAAAGACAGAUUCUCUUACUGGUUGUUGUGUCGUUUUAUAAUGUGAUAGUGUCCUACUGGAUCAAGGGAGUUGUAGCAUCUUAUCACAGAAUGAUUUAUCAAAAAUAAUCUUCAAAAUUUACAUGACAUGGAAAAGCUACUUUUGACUUCAGGUAAAAGCAUCUAAAAGUCCCUUAUGCAAAAAGCUGCUUUUAUGUGACCAUAAUAUUUCCUCUUCUUUUACACUCUGCCUGCCUUUUCAACUGCCAGUGUGCCCACUAAUGCUGUUUCAGUGAAGAUGUUUUACUCUGUUCUGUGUUUACCAGAGCACAGGGAUGUGCCAGGGAUGCAGAUGUGGAACUCUUGCCACCCAAGAACGCAGCUCAGUCUUGACAAAUGAGAUCAGAAUGGGCAGAAUUUAGUUUAGCUCUUUGCAUGAGUCUCUUAAAGGUUUAUGGAGAUUCUUCUUUCCCAGCCAGCAGUAGGUGUGCUUUCUCUGUUGGUAAAGUUCUCUUAGCUCAAUGGUGAUACUGGCCUAAAACACUGUAAUCUCAGAGCCCUCAAAGUCCAAAGGCAAGGCUGUUGGUAUGACUAAAGAAAUUUCAUUCAGAGCUUAUCUGAGAAGAGCAAAAUGCCAGAUUCCCCCAGAAGGAGCAACACUUAGUUGAUGAAAUUAAUGACUUUGACAGGUGAAGAUACCAGGACUAGAGAACAAGCCAUGCUCUUCAGAGCUCUGAGGAAUAUGAGUUCUUAAGCAACCAUGAGCCCAUUUUUCUGUGUAAAAUAAUUUCUUAAGAGUUGAGCAUAAGCUGUUUCUUCCUUGCAGUGUACAGGUCUGACCCAGCUGCCCGAAAUCCACGUGGUGUUUCUUCAUUGAUUUAAUUCCAUUUUGGAUCAUCUCAUGUAUUGAAAGGUCCUAUGCAUAUGCAGAGGGUAGAUAUAAUCUAGAUUGAUUUAUGUGAUUGUACUGACUGCUCUCACAUCAAUAUGUGACUUACCUAUGACUUACAAAGGCUACUUCCUAAUUAGUAUAAAAUCUCAGAGUAGAAGUUUCAAAAACAUUAUCUGUUUGCAAUUUAAAGCCUGAAGGGUUUUUUUUUUGCUUUUACCUUAAUAAAAUGUCAUGUAAAUUGUCUUUUAUUUUUCUUUCAUUUGUGAAAAAGGUGUUGAAACCUCAUAUGUUUUUAUGCAUAUGUACACACACACAAAAUUCAAGAGAAGAACCCGCUACUAAAGCUGGAAUGCAAAAAGCCCUUGCUCUGGUGGAAAUGCAGGCUCUGCACAGAUGUUGAUUAUACACAUGGGACAGGCUUCGUUCAAGAUGAAUAGACAAUCCAUAAAAUGCACACUUUCCCUCCCUCAUUCUUCUUGUCUAUCUGAUUUUGUAGAAUGAUUUUAAUUAACCCCACAGAACUGCAAUAAACUGCAGGAAUUGUAAAGUGAACAUCCAGAAAUGCUGCAGAUAGAAAAAUUGCUGCAUAGCUGUAAGGUUAUGCUUUUCUUCUUUUGUGCCUGUAAACACAUCUGUUCAAAGCUGCACAUGAACUUCUUUUCUUCUCUGGGCAGCUGAAAGGCAUAAGGGAAUAUUUUUCAUGAAAAAACUUAGCAGUGCCUACUUCAAAGAAAUUGGGAAUUAGAGAUAUUUAGAUAGUGAGGAGUAUUGCACUCACUCUCUAAACAUCUCUAAGUUGCUUUUCCAACAUGAGAAAUGUGCCUCCCAUGAUAGUACUUCUACUUACUUCUUUACAGAAUGUGAUAAACUAUCUAAUAUGAGGCUCUAUGUGUGCUUAUAUAUAAAAAAAUACACUUACAUGUCUAAUUGUCCUGCUGGACAGAUGCUGAUAUUAUGUAGAUUAGGUUUUAUGGGAAGGUAGGUCAGUGAAGCAGAGUUUGGGUGUCUUGCUAUGUGGUUUGUAGUGCAUAAUAGCUCUGAGAGUAUGUCUGGCGUGUUCCAAGCACCCUGGUCCUCCUCAUCCAUUUGUGCUUGACUGUGCUUGUCCCUUGUUUCAAGUGCUUGGAGUCUGUGGACCAUCUGCUUGAAGUGAACUGAGCCCUGUUUACAUUGAGCACAAAGAAAGGCAAUAUAUGAGAUCUUGUUUACUAAAUUAUUCUCAUGUUAAUGUUUAAAUGAAAUAGAAUAUCUUCCCUCUCGUCUCCACUCUCUUUUUUUCUCCCUUUAUUUCACUGGAGCAAAUAAAUUAAACGUGAUUCAAGUUUUAUCAAGGGUUUUUUGAGAGGCCACGUUGUGUGUGUUGCUGCAGAGGGCAGGCAGAGAACAGGCAGCUCACGAGCUGCUUGUUGG